GACCUGAGCUCAGGCAAGAACACCCGCUGAACUUAAGCAUAUCAAUAAGCGGAGGAAAAGAAACUAACAAGGAUUCCCUUAGUAACGGCGAGUGAAACGGGAAUAGCCCAACUUGAAAAUCUCCCUUUGGAGAAUUGUAGUCUAUAGAAGCGUCCUCUGUGGCGGCCUGAGCCCAAGUCCACUGGAAAGUGGCGUCAGAGAGGGUGAGAACCCCGUCGGCUCUCGGCUUAGCUACUCCACGAGGUGCUUUCCACGAGUCGGGUUGUUUGGGAAUGCAGCCCAAAAUUGGA
This 290-nucleotide ribosomal RNA is filed under the name Pleurastrum sp. CCCryo 205-05. RNAcentral describes it as "partial 26S ribosomal RNA". It matches the Rfam family "Eukaryotic large subunit ribosomal RNA", at positions 1 to 297 of the family's 3401-position model. Lineage: Eukaryota; Viridiplantae; Chlorophyta; Chlorophyceae; Chlamydomonadales; Pleurastraceae. The record is from RNAcentral.